GGUAAGGUGAUAUGAACCGUUAUAACCGGCGAUGUCCGAAUGGGGAAACCCGGUGCACUUCGGUGCAUCAUCGUUAGCUGAAUACAUAGGCUAACGAGGCGAACCGGGGGAACUGAAACAUCUAAGUACCCCGAGGAAAAGAAAUCAACCGAGAUUCCCCCAGUAGCGGCGAGCGAACGGGGAACAGCCCAGAGCCUGAAUCAGCUUGUGUGUCAGUGGAACGGUCUGGAAAGGCCGGCGAUACAGGGUGACAGCCCCGUACACGAAGGCACACAGGCUGUGAGCUCGAUGAGUAGGGCGGGACACGUGAUAUCCUGUCUGAAGAUGGGGGGACCAUCCUCCAAGGCUAAAUACUCCUGACUGACCGAUAGUGAACCAGUACCGUGAGGGAAAGGCGAAAAGAACCCCGGCGAGGGGAGUGAAACAGAACCUGAAACCGUGUACGUACAAGCAGUGGGAGCCUUCGUAAGAGGGUGACUGCGUACCUUUUGUAUAAUGGGUCAGCGACUUAUAUUCUGUAGCAAGGUUAACCGUAUAGGGGAGCCGAAGGGAAACCGAGUCUUAACCGGGCGUUAAGUUGCAGGGUAUAGACCCGAAACCCGGUGAUCUAGCCAUGGGCAGGUUGAAGGUUGGGUAACACUAACUGGAGGACCGAACCGACUAAUGUUGAAAAAUUAGCGGAUGACCUGUGGCUGGGGGUGAAAGGCCAAUCAAACCGGGAGAUAGCUGG
Molecule: ribosomal RNA, 730 nt
Filed under: Cronobacter sakazakii
Lineage: Bacteria; Pseudomonadati; Pseudomonadota; Gammaproteobacteria; Enterobacterales; Enterobacteriaceae
Description: bacterial LSU rRNA
Rfam family: Bacterial large subunit ribosomal RNA
Source: RNAcentral